AAGUUGUUGAAGUUAAAAAGCUCGUAGUUGGACUUUGGGAUGGGCCGGCCGGUCCGCCUUUGGUGUGCACCGGUCGUCUCGUCCCUUCUGCCGGCGAUGCGCUCUUGGCCUUAACUAGUCGGGUCAUGCCUCCGGUGCUGUUACUUUGAAAAAAAUAGAAUGCUCAAAGCAAGCCUACGCUCUGUAUAUAUUAGCAUGGGAUAACAUUUUAGGAUUUCGGUCCUAUUACGUUGGCCUUUUGGAUCUGACUAAUGACUAACGGGGACAGUCGGGGGCAUUCGUAUUUCAUAGUCAGAGGUGAAAUUCUUGGAUUUAUGAAAGAUGAACAACUGUGAAAGCAUUUUCCAAGGAUGUUUUCAUUAAUCAAGAACGAAAGUUGGGGGCUCGGAGACGAUCAGAUACCUCCUAGUCUCAACCAUAAAUGAUGCCGACCAGGGAUCGGUGGAUGUUGCUUUUAGGACUCCGCCGGCACCUUAUGAGAAAUCAAUGUUUUUGGGUUCCG
RNAcentral lists this ribosomal RNA (502 nucleotides) under Nicotiana attenuata. Its description in RNAcentral is "rRNA SSU_rRNA_eukarya". It matches the Rfam family "Eukaryotic small subunit ribosomal RNA", at positions 607 to 1116 of the family's 1831-position model. The record is from RNAcentral. Lineage: Eukaryota; Viridiplantae; Streptophyta; Magnoliopsida; Solanales; Solanaceae.